AUUGAACGCUGGCGGCAGGCCUAACACAUGCAAGUCGAACGAGUGGCGGACGGGUGAGUAAUGUCUGGGAAACUGCCUGCUGGAGGGGGUUAACUACUGGAAACGGUAGCUAAUACCGCAUACCAUCGGAUGUGCCCAGAUGGGCGUAGCUAGUAGGUGGGGUAACGGCUCACCUAGGCGACGAUCCCUAGCUGGUCUGAGAGGAUGACCGGCGACACGGGAACUUAGACACGGUCCAGAGUCCUACGGGAGGCACCAGUGUGGAAUAUUGCACAGUGGGCGCAAGCCUGAUGCAGCCAGGGCGCGUGUAUGAAGAAGGCCUUCGGGUUGUAAAGUACGUUCAGCGGGGAGGCGUUACCCGCAGAAGAAGCACCGGCUAACUCCGUGCCAGCAGCCGCGGUAAUAC
This 406-nucleotide ribosomal RNA is filed under the name uncultured bacterium. RNAcentral describes it as "partial 16S ribosomal RNA". It matches the Rfam family "Bacterial small subunit ribosomal RNA", at positions 30 to 526 of the family's 1533-position model. The record is from RNAcentral.